UACGGGGGAUGCAAGCGUUAUCCGGAAUCAUUGGGCGUAAAGCGCCUGUAGGUUGUUUAAUAAGUCUGUUGUUAAAGACUAGGGCUUAACCCUAGGAAAGCAAUGGAAACUACUAGACUAGAGUAUGGCAGGGGUAGAGGGAAUUUCUAGUGUAGCGGUGAAAUGCGUAGAUAUUAGAAAGAACACCGGUGGCGAAAGCGCUCUACUGGACCAUUACUGACACUCAGAGGCGAAAGCUAGGGGAGCGAAAGGGAUUAGAUACCCCUGUAGUCCUAGCCGUAAACGAUGGAUACUAGAUGUUGUGUUAUUUAUACAGUAUCGUAGCUAACGCGUUAAGUAUCCCGCCUGGGGAGUACGCACGCAAGGGUG
RNAcentral lists this ribosomal RNA (369 nucleotides) under uncultured phototrophic eukaryote. RNAcentral describes it as "SSU rRNA". It matches the Rfam family "Bacterial small subunit ribosomal RNA", at positions 524 to 896 of the family's 1533-position model. The record is from RNAcentral.